CGGGACACGUGGUAUCCUGUCUGAAUAUGGGGGGACCAUCCUCCAAGGCUAAAUACUCCUGACUGACCGAUAGUGAACCAGUACCGUGAGGGAAAGGCGAAAAGAACCCCGGCGAGGGGAGUGAAAAAGAACCUGAAACCGUGUACGUACAAGCAGUGGGAGCACGCUUAGGCGUGUGACUGCGUACCUUUUGUAUAAUGGGUCAGCGACUUAUAUUCUGUAGCAAGGUUAACCGAAUAGGGGAGCCGAAGGGAAACCGAGUCUUAACUGGGCGUUAAGUUGCAGGGUAUAGACCCGAAACCCGGUGAUCUAGCCAUGGGCAGGUUGAAGGUUGGGUAACACUAACUGGAGGACCGAACCGACUAAUGUUGAAAAAUUAGCGGAUGACUUGUGGCUGGGGGUGAAAGGCCAAUCAAACCGGGAGAUAGCUGGUUCUCCCCGAAAGCUAUUUAGGUAGCGCCUCGUGAAUUCAUCUCCGGGGGUAGAGCACUGUUUCGGCAAGGGGGUCAUCCCGACUUACCAACCCGAUGCAAACUGCGAAUACCGGAGAAUGUUAUCACGGGAGACACACGGCGGGUGCUAACGUCCGUCGUGAAGAGGGAAACAACCCAGACCGCCAGCUAAGGUCCCAAAGUCAUGGUUAAGUGGGAAACGAUGUGGGAAGGCCCAGACAGCCAGGAUGUUGGCUUAGAAGCAGCCAUCAUUUAAAGAAAGCGUAAUAGCUCACUGGUCGAGUCGGCCUGCGCGGAAGAUGUAACGGGGCUAAACCAUGCACCGAAGCUGCGGCAGCGACGCUGAUGCGUUGUUGGGUAGGGGAGCGUUCUGUAAGCCUGUGAAGGUGUGCUGUGAGGCAUGCUGGAGGUAUCAGAAGUGCGAAUGCUGACAUAAGUAACGAUAAAGCGGGUGAAAAGCCCGCUCGCCGGAAGACCAAGGGUUCCUGUCCAACGUUAAUCGGGGCAGGGUGAGUCGACCCCUAAGGCGAGGCCGAAAGGCGUAGUCGAUGGGAAACAGGUUAAUAUUCCUGUACUUGGUGUUACUGCGAAGGGGGGACGGAGAAGGCUAUGUUGGCCGGGCGACGGUUGUCCCGGUUUAAGCGUGUAGGCUGGUUUUCCAGGCAAAUCCGGAAAAUCAAGGCUGAGGCGUGAUGACGAGGCACUACGGUGCUGAAGCAACAAAUGCCCUGCUUCCAGGAAAAGCCUCUAAGCAUCAGGUAACAUCAAAUCGUACCCCAAACCGACACAGGUGGUCAGGUAGAGAAUACCAAGGCGCUUGAGAGAACUCGGGUGAAGGAACUAGGCAAAAUGGUGCCGUAACUUCGGGAGAAGGCACGCUGAUAUGUAGGUGAAGCGACUUGCUCGUGGAGCUGAAAUCAGUCGAAGAUACCAGCUGGCUGCAACUGUUUAUUAAAAACACAGCACUGUGCAAACACGAAAGUGGACGUAUACGGUGUGACGCCUGCCCGGUGCCGGAAGGUUAAUUGAUGGGGUCAGCGCAA
Molecule: ribosomal RNA, 1495 nt
Filed under: Escherichia coli
Lineage: Bacteria; Pseudomonadati; Pseudomonadota; Gammaproteobacteria; Enterobacterales; Enterobacteriaceae
Description: partial 23S ribosomal RNA
Rfam family: Bacterial large subunit ribosomal RNA
Source: RNAcentral